UACGGGGGGGGCAAGCGUUGUUCGGAAUUACUGGGCGUAAAGGGCGCGUAGGCGGCCUUCUAAGUCGAACGUGAAAUCCCCGGGCUCAACCCGGGAACUGCGUCCGAUACUGGAAGGCUUGAAUCCGGGAGAGGGAUGUGGAAUUCCAGGUGUAGCGGUGAAAUGCGUAGAUAUCUGGAGGAACACCGGUGGCGAAGGCGACAUCCUGGACCGGUAUUGACGCUGAGGCGCGAAAGCCAGGGGAGCAAACGAG
Molecule: ribosomal RNA, 253 nt
Filed under: uncultured bacterium
Lineage: Bacteria
Description: partial 16S ribosomal RNA
Rfam family: Bacterial small subunit ribosomal RNA
Source: RNAcentral